This 439-nucleotide long non-coding RNA is filed under the name Manihot esculenta (cassava). RNAcentral's name for it is "long non-coding RNA (MESC_LNC010926)". The record is from RNAcentral. Lineage: Eukaryota; Viridiplantae; Streptophyta; Magnoliopsida; Malpighiales; Euphorbiaceae.
ACCUUCCAAAAUCUUCCACAAGCUUAAAACUUCUUAAUCUUCCUUUUCUUUCCCUUUUCCUUUAGAGUUUUCACUUUUCCCUUCCACUUCUUCUUCAUGAAAAAUAAACCAAUAAAUUAUAUUAAUACAAUAUUUCUCAUAAAUAUUCACAUAAAAAUAAUAAGAAACAUCCCUAAAUCAAAACCUCUAACAUACCUUUAAAUUUCAAAACCCUUGGUUACUAUUCACCCUCCCUCAAUCUUGAAUUUUCUCUUUGAUUUCUCUUCUUUUCUUCAAAUUCUACUUUGAAAAUGUGUUGGGAGAAGAUGGAGAGUUGAUUAGAGAUGGAAAUUUGAAACAAUUUUGGGGUAGAAAGAAAAGAUGGAGGAAGAGGGGUUUAUGCAUGUUUACGGGAAGGAGAAGAAAAUGAAUGGGAAAAAUAAAUUCCCUUCCUCUUCUA